RNAcentral lists this ribosomal RNA (292 nucleotides) under uncultured bacterium. RNAcentral's name for it is "partial 16S ribosomal RNA". It matches the Rfam family "Bacterial small subunit ribosomal RNA", at positions 505 to 796 of the family's 1533-position model. The record is from RNAcentral.
GUGACAGCAGCCGCGGUAGUACAGAGGGUGCAAGCGUUGUUCGGAAUUAUUGGGCGUAAAGCGCGUGUAGGCGGCCUUGCAAGUCGGGUGUGAAAGCCCUCAGCUCAACUGAGGAAGCGCGCCCGAAACUGCAGAGCUUGAGUACCGGAGAGGAUGGCGGAAUUCCCCAAGUAGAGGUGAAAUUCGUAGAUAUGGGGAGGAACACCGGUGGCGAAGGCGGCCAUCUGGACGGAUACUGACGCUGAGACGCGAAAGCGUGGGGAGCAAACAGGAUUAGAAACCCGGGUAGUCC